AUACAGAGGGUGCGAGCGUUAAUCGGAAUUACUGGGCGUAAAGCGUGCGUAGGCGGUUUCGUAAGUCGGGUGUGAAAGCCCCGGGCUCAACCUGGGAAUUGCAUUCGAGACUGCGGAGCUGGAGUGCGGAAGAGGGAAGUGGAAUUUCCGGUGUAGCGGUGAAAUGCGUAGAUAUCGGAAGGAACAUCAGUGGCGAAAGCGACUUCCUGGUCCAGCACUGACGCUCAGGCACGAAAGCGUGGGGAGCAAACAGGAUUAGAUACCCUGGUAGUCCACGCCAUAAACGAUGAGAACUAGAUGUUGAGAGGGUAAGCCUCCCAGUGUCGAAGCUAACGCGAUAAGUUCUCCGCCUGGGGAGUACGGCCGCAAGGUUGAA
RNAcentral lists this ribosomal RNA (376 nucleotides) under uncultured bacterium. RNAcentral describes it as "bacterial SSU rRNA". It matches the Rfam family "Bacterial small subunit ribosomal RNA", at positions 523 to 898 of the family's 1533-position model. The record is from RNAcentral.